UACGUAGGGGGCAAGCGUUGUCCGGAAUCAUUGGGCGUAAAGAGCGUGUAGGCGGCCAGAAAAGUCCGCUGUGAAAACUCGAGGCUCAACUUCGAGCUGUCGGUGGAAACUUUCUGGCUAGAGUCCGGAAGAGGAGAAUGGAAUUCCUGGUGUAGCGGUGAAAUGUGUAGAGAUCGGGAGGAACACCGGUGGCGAAGGCGGGUCUCUGGGCAAUUCCUGACGCUGAGGCGCGAAAGCGUGGGGAGCAAACGGG
This 253-nucleotide ribosomal RNA is filed under the name uncultured bacterium. Its description in RNAcentral is "partial 16S ribosomal RNA". It matches the Rfam family "Bacterial small subunit ribosomal RNA", at positions 524 to 776 of the family's 1533-position model. The record is from RNAcentral.